UAGACUUUAUUUUUGUUGCUAAUAUUUAUAUAAUAAAUUUUUUGAGACCCACAUGAAUUGGAGGUCCAGCUCCAUAAAAAUCUCUAUAUUUUACUAUUAUCUCACUUCAUCAUAAUAAAAUCUGACUACAUAUAUUCUAAAAAUAGUGUCAUUAUAUUUUAAUAAAUCUCACGAUUAAAACUUACUCCAACAUAUAAUAAGAAUAUUGCUACCGGUUAAAUUAUAUUCACAGCCAAAAUACUAGUUAAUUCAAAAAUUGUAA
This 262-nucleotide long non-coding RNA is filed under the name Trifolium pratense (red clover). Its description in RNAcentral is "long non-coding RNA (TPRA_LNC013533)". Lineage: Eukaryota; Viridiplantae; Streptophyta; Magnoliopsida; Fabales; Fabaceae. The record is from RNAcentral.